UGCCUGCUCCUCCAGCCGCUGCCGUCACUGCCGUCUGUUCUGCACAAUUUUGGCUUCCUUGUAUUUAUCUUUCCCAAGAUUGAUUCGUUUCUCCCAUUGCGUAUAUAUGGAGAAGCUUUGAUCUUGCUGAAGUGCAUUGGUUAUUGGGGGGAUAAAGCUAAUUGAAGGCGGAAAAGGAGAGAAUCAUCUUAUCUCUGCAUCAGCAAAUCCAUUUAAUGCCCAAACAUGAAGCUAGAAUGCUGCGGAUUAGCAAGUUGAUUUGGGGCUAAUUAUUUGCAUACAUAGAAACAAAACCCUUUUAAUCUGCCAUUAAUAUUCAAAUUACUCCAGGCCUGGAAGUGAGGAUUUUUUUGGGGGGGGGGGUGAGAUGAGAGCACAUUGUAAAAUCAGAUUAACAUGUUCUAAAGACGAUACUGCAUGAAGUGAUUUAGAGACAAAAUUAGAUCUGACUUCAAAGGUGCAACUCUCCAAAUUGUAAACAGGGUAAAUGUCCGUACUGCACCAUAUCUACUAAAACUUGCAUGAUAAUGCCAGCUGAUCACCAAGAGAUUCAGCUUACAUGAUUCAGCGUCUUUUAAUUUAGACAUCACAUGACAAUAUUGUAGUUCAUGCAUCGGUUGUUCAUGCAGUGGUCACUUGUAUAAAUAUCAGCAAUUAUACUUGAAUGAGCAGAAAUCAACAUAUAUUUAUAAAA
This is a long non-coding RNA of Neltuma alba, 694 nucleotides long. RefSeq lists it as uncharacterized. The record is from RefSeq and is a predicted model, not a curated record. Lineage: Eukaryota; Viridiplantae; Streptophyta; Magnoliopsida; Fabales; Fabaceae. The transcript has 2 exons.